RNAcentral lists this ribosomal RNA (490 nucleotides) under uncultured bacterium. RNAcentral's name for it is "bacterial SSU rRNA". It matches the Rfam family "Bacterial small subunit ribosomal RNA", at positions 30 to 512 of the family's 1533-position model. The record is from RNAcentral.
AUUGAACGCUGGCGGCAGGCCUAACACAUGCAAGUCGAGCGGAUGACGGGAGCUUGCUCCUUGAUUCAGCGGCGGACGGGUGAGUAAUGCCUAGGAAUCUGCCUGGUAGUGGGGGACAACGUUUCGAAAGGAACGCUAAUACCGCAUACGUCCUACGGGAGAAAGCAGGGGACCUUCGGGCCUUGCGCUAUCAGAUGAGCCUAGGUCGGAUUAGCUUGUUGGUGAGGUAACGGCUCACCAAGGCGACGAUCCGUAACUGGUCUGAGAGGAUGAUCAGUCACACUGGAACUGAGACACGGUCCAGACUCCUACGGGAGGCAGCAGUGGGGAAUAUUGGACAAUGGGCGAAAGCCUGAUCCAGCCAUGCCGCGUGUGUGAAGAAGGUCUUCGGAUUGUAAAGCACUUUAAGUUGGGAGGAAGGGUUGUAGAUUAAUACUCUGCAAUUUUGACGUUUACCGACAGAAUAAGCACCGGCUAACUCUGUGCCAGC